Molecule: long non-coding RNA, 1884 nt
Filed under: Eurytemora carolleeae
Lineage: Eukaryota; Metazoa; Arthropoda; Copepoda; Calanoida; Temoridae
Description: uncharacterized LOC111695438
Source: RNAcentral
AUGUGGAAGAUAUUGUUGUUUUUUUAGGUGGAAGUCACUUUUAAAGAAAAAAAAUCAGUUUUCAAAAUUAAUAAUAUCGAUAAGCUUACUCCAGCAGAAACCAGUUCCAAGCGUUAAAAACAUUUUACAAUUAAGGGGGUUUUUCUUUGGAAAAAUUAUUAUCUUUUACAAAGUUAUAAAAUUAAAUGCUGAAGAGUUCUGUGGAAUGAUAAGAGGUGUUUCGGUCUACCGUAACAUCCAGAGAUGAUUUCAAGGAUGCUCGAGGGGAGGAAAACUUAAACUGCCAAAUUUUCCAGAAGAAAUUCUGAGUUGAAGCAUUUUUCGAAAUGUCUUCUUUAAAUAGAUAUCUAAUGCAAAGCUUUUAGGAGUACUAAUGUAAUUCUGACAUUGACAUUUUGGCAUGGAAUGUAAAAUUACACUUUCAGUCCCUUUGCUCUUCAUCCUCCGCGUUAAACUUCUGGUGUGUGUAAGGUAGCAGAUGGACCUGUUGAGAUAUCCAAUAUGUCUUAAAAAGUGGCGAAUUAAUGUUUACUUAAAUCGGGUUAACAUUUCAUAAAAUCCGAACUGACAAUGUGGAUCAAGUAAUCAGCACAGCAUUUAACAAUUCAUUGUUAUUCUCUCAUGAUCUCAAUCUAAUUUAGAUAAUUGUAAAUAGAAUAUUGCCUGAAAAAAAAAUUCCUUGUUGGUUCUAGUUUAAAUUAUGUAUAUCAUCCCCUUAGUGUCAUCCUGUGAUUUUAUUUACUUUGUUCACUGAGGGAGGGAAGGCAUACCACACCUGUUUUUCGUCCGCGCCGCAUCAAACAAUUCACUGAAUUUUUUUUUGCAUAGUAUUUUUAUUAAUAAGAAAACAUCUGGAAAAAAUAUCUAGAAAACUAGAAAUGUUAAGUUUAGUUGUAGAUACUAAGAAACGGGUGUUGUGGCCUUCCCUCUCGUUUUUGUAAUACUGUUAUAUUUUUCAGUCUUUAUAUAUUUCGUAUAUCGGUAAUACUCUUUGUUUAUCGUUAAUGUUAUGUUUAUCUAGUCAUGUCCAGUACCUAUAAAUAUAUAUGUAUAUGUUCUAAUUUGUAUUUAAUAAUGAUUUAUCAUUCAAGUUGCAUUUAUAUUAUUAUUAUUAUUAUUAAAUGCCUCUGAUAAAGUACAGGAGUAGGUUUAUAGAAUGUAUAAUCCAAUUUAAAAGUGAAGAGGAUUUGGAUUUUAAAAAUAUCAGAAUUUCUUCUUAAGUAGAAAUUGAAUCCAGUAGAAUUUUACUUCUUUUUUAUUAUUGAGAUAGAAACGGGAUACCGCUUGGGCACAUCGGCCGAAUUGAAUAUCCAUUGAUAACUUUGUAAUUGAAGAAUAUGAUUCAUAGAAGGUGUCGAGGGGCGUGUUAUAAACAGAUUUAAUACAAAAGUUAUGAUCUCAUAAAUUUUAAUUUUGAACAUUUUUAUGAUCAACUAGAGAUAUGUCUUUAAUAAAGUUAUAUGAAAAUUCUACCGCAGUAUUUUAUUGGCUAAUCGUUUUUCUGAUUUUGUGUUUAACUACGAUAAGGUAAACUUGCGACAAUGGCACAAAUUACGGAUAUAGUUUAGGUGAGGGUUAAUGAAUUUCUGGGCCGAGCGGCGCAGCAGUUACAUUAUUUAUUACAUAUUCUUAGUUUGUCGAGUUAUUGUCUAGCGAUAUUUGAUUACGGCUGACGAUUUGAAAAGAUCAAAAGUUUCCAGUAAAUCAUUUGGAUGAACUUAUAAUCUAAACUCUUAGUUGGUUUCGUUGGAUAAUUGAGUAAGAGUAUUGAGUAUCCAUCUAAUUUGCUUUAAAAAUUGGAUAUUAAACAACUAACAUUAAAAAACGUAUACUAAUGAUCUGAUAAUUUAUCUCAGAAAAAUGUCAUAAUAUUUAAUUAUUUCA